Cervus elaphus (red deer) is the source of this 782-nucleotide long non-coding RNA. RefSeq lists it as uncharacterized. The record is from RefSeq and is a predicted model, not a curated record. The transcript has 3 exons. NCBI's taxonomy places the organism in Eukaryota, Metazoa, Chordata, Mammalia, Artiodactyla, Cervidae.
UAAUCAGGCUUGGAGGAGGGAGGGUAACUGAUGGCUUGUGGUCCCACAGUUUCCUUUGCCCACUGAGGGUGAAGCUGUAUGUCAUGAGUUUAUGAAAUUAGAAGCGGUGACCGGAGGCAUAUGAAGGGCAGUAGAGUUUCACUCGCUUCAUGAGUCUGUCAUAAUUUCUACUGUGACUUCUGCAUCUCUCCCCUUCCCGGCCUCCUACUUCCCUGUCUCUAGGGAUUCUGGCAGAAAAUACCUAGGGGCGCAUGGAUACACCAUCUCAUUCAGUCCUCAGCCUUGUGGUCCCUUCAAGGCUCUGUUUUGGCUCCCAGAGGACGUUUCAUGGACUAACAUCUCUGACGCAACAACCCCUCAGAUUUGACACAGCAAUGAAUGGUGGCCUGGAUUCAGCCCUGGAGUAACCCGGCAUCAGCGCCAGACUCUUCCCUGCAGACCUUGGGCAGACCCCAAAGAGAAGACUCUGCCGUUGCUGGGGUGUGUGUGUGUGUGUGUGUGUGUGUGUGUGUGUGUACGCGCCCGCGCUCAGUCACUCAGUUAUGUCUGACUCUUCUGUGACCCCAUGGACUGCCUGCGAGGCUCCUCUGUCCAUGGGAUUCUCCAGGCAAGAAUACUGGAGCGGGUUGCCAUUUCCUCCUCCAGGGGAUCUUCCUGACCCAGCGCUCUAACCCGCAUCCCCUGCACCACCUGGGGAGCCCGUUGUUGGGGAGGGGGGUGAUAACUGGGAUCCUGGGGUUGACGUGGGUUACAGUAGGGUUUAUACACCUUGACACAAUAAA